GACGAACCGUGCGAACGUUGUUCGGAAUCACUGGGCUUAAAGGGCGCGUAGGCGGCUUGCCAAGUCAGGGGUGAAAUCCUUCGGCUCAACCGAAGAACGUCGGCCGAUACUGCCGUUCUUGAGGGAUGCAGAGGAGAUUGGAAUUCCUGGUGUAGCGGUGGAAUGCGCAGAUAUCAGGAGGAACACCGGUGGCGAAGGCGGGUCUCUGGGCAGUAACUGACGCUGAGGAGCGAAAGCGUGGGGAGCGAACAGG
This 253-nucleotide ribosomal RNA is filed under the name uncultured bacterium. Its description in RNAcentral is "partial 16S ribosomal RNA". It matches the Rfam family "Bacterial small subunit ribosomal RNA", at positions 524 to 776 of the family's 1533-position model. The record is from RNAcentral.